GUGCUUGCUUUGUGCAGCACAUAGACUAAAAUUGGAAUGAUACAGAGAAGAUUAGCAUGACCCCUGCACGAAGAUGACAUGCAAGUUCGUGAGGCGUUCUAUAUUUUU
This 108-nucleotide small nuclear RNA is filed under the name Neotoma lepida (desert woodrat). Lineage: Eukaryota; Metazoa; Chordata; Mammalia; Rodentia; Cricetidae. The record is from RNAcentral.